This 70-nucleotide transfer RNA is filed under the name Chlorophthalmus agassizi (shortnose greeneye). RNAcentral describes it as "tRNA-Pro". It matches the Rfam family "tRNA". From Rfam's summary of the family: Transfer RNA (tRNA) molecules are approximately 80 nucleotides in length. Lineage: Eukaryota; Metazoa; Chordata; Actinopteri; Aulopiformes; Chlorophthalmidae. The record is from RNAcentral. RNAcentral also lists the same sequence under 1 other name.
CAGAAAGUAGUCUAACUAAGAAUUUUAGCUUUGGGAGUUAAAGGUGGGAGUUAAAAUCUCUCCUUUCUGA